RNAcentral lists this transfer RNA (70 nucleotides) under Hoplodactylus sp. Southern Alps. RNAcentral describes it as "tRNA-Ala". It matches the Rfam family "tRNA". Rfam says of the family: Transfer RNA (tRNA) molecules are approximately 80 nucleotides in length. Their secondary structure includes four short double-helical elements and three loops (D, anti-codon, and T loops). Lineage: Eukaryota; Metazoa; Chordata; Lepidosauria; Squamata; Diplodactylidae. The record is from RNAcentral.
GGAGGCCUUAGCUUAAUUAAAGUGUUUGAGUUGCAUUCAGAAGAUGUAUAUUAGAAUUGUGCAGGCCUUC